This 268-nucleotide unclassified non-coding RNA is filed under the name uncultured fungus. RNAcentral describes it as "sequence contains ITS1, 5.8S rRNA gene". The stretch from base 220 to 268 matches the Rfam family "5.8S ribosomal RNA", at positions 1 to 49 of the family's 154-position model. The record is from RNAcentral. Lineage: Eukaryota; Fungi.
UUUCCGUAGGUGAACCUGCGGAAGGAUCAUUAGUGAAUUUUGGGUGCCUCUUCCACAGAGGGCCCGUCUUCCACUUUACACCCUGUGCACCUGUCCGUCGUCCCGCGGCCUUCCCAGGCCCGGCUCGAUCAGUUUUACAAAGUUGCUGCUGGCCUUCGCGGGCCGGCGGCGGCUUAACAAACGCAAGUCAAUGAAUGUAAAAAGUUUAUAACAAAAUAAAACUUUCAACAACGGAUCUCUUGGCUCCCGCAUCGAUGAAGAACGCAGC